This 967-nucleotide long non-coding RNA is filed under the name Zostera marina. RNAcentral describes it as "long non-coding RNA (ZMAR_LNC003647)". The record is from RNAcentral. Lineage: Eukaryota; Viridiplantae; Streptophyta; Magnoliopsida; Alismatales; Zosteraceae.
GCAAAUCAAAAGAGUUUUUCGCUCCACAUUUAAGCUCUCCCACGUUUUUGUCUCCAAGCUUCCAAGUGUUCAAGUGUCUUAGCUUUCCAAAACUUCAAAAGCUUUUCAACUUCUUCUUCUAAUCUUCUUGUUCAUCUCUACAAGUAAGAAGUGUUGUUUGCUUUAAUAUUCCACUCCUCUAAUCACCUCUUGUGUGUGUCCACUUUGGUUGAGAGGGUUGUCUCAAUAUCACCAAAGUGUGAGAGAAGGUUUUGGAGCUCAACUAUAAAGCUCUAGUUUGGUUUUAUAGAGUUUCCGGGAAAACUCUUAGGUCGAAUCUACCUUUAAAGAUUUUUAGGUUUUUAAGAGUUCCUUGAUAUAUACUCUAAGGUACUAACUUACUCGUAAAAGUUAAAGAUUCUUAAGAGUGUCUUUGAUACUCUAAGGUGUGAGUCUACCCGUAAAAGACUGGUUUCUAAGCGAAGUAUCCUUAAAGCUUAGAGAGGUUUUUAAGAGUUCCUUGAUACUCUAAGGUACUAACUUACCCGUAAAAGUUAGAGGUUCUUAAGAGUGCCCUUGAUACUCUAAGGUGUGAGUCUACCCGUAAAAGACUGAUUCUUAAGCGAAGUAGCCUUAAAGCUUAGAGAAGUUCUUAAGAGUUUCCUUGAUAUUCUAAGGUUUUGCCAUAACCUUUAGGCUAGUGAAUUCCGACAGUUGGUCGGGACUGGAUUAGCCCUUAUUUGGGUGAACCAGUAUAAAUCUCUUGUGUUUUUCUUUGUUAACUUUAGUUUUAUAUCUCUUAUAAAAACAACUAAACAACACUUAAUUGAAAAUGAUUCCUCUUCCAGUUAUCUGGUCAAAUAUAGAGGAUGACUAUUUUAAGCAGAUCUCUCAUCCAGUUAUCUGGUCAACUAUCUGAGGUUAUAUUAUUUGCCUUAAUUUCUUUCAAGCAUUUACUUAUCAAAUAUAUACAUCCAGUUAUCUAGAC